This 458-nucleotide ribosomal RNA is filed under the name uncultured bacterium. Its description in RNAcentral is "partial 16S ribosomal RNA". It matches the Rfam family "Bacterial small subunit ribosomal RNA", at positions 28 to 507 of the family's 1533-position model. The record is from RNAcentral.
GAUAAACGCUGGCGGCGUGCAUGAGACAUGCAAGUCGAACGAAGGAUCGGGCUUGCUCGAUCCUUAGUGGCGGCCGGCUGAGUAACGCGUAGGUGACCUACCCCGAAGUGGGGAAUAACUGCCCGAAAGGGUGGCUAAUACCGCAUGUGGUCGCACGAUCAUUCGUGCGAGUAAAGCCGCAAGGCGCUUCGGGAGGGGCCUGCGUCCGUUUAUCUCGUUGGUGGGGUAAUGGCUUACCAAGGCGACGAUCGGUAGGUGGGCUGAGAGGACGAUCACCCAGGCUGGGACUGAGACACGGCACAGACUCCUACGGGAGGCAGCAGUCGGGAAUUUUGCACAAUGGGGGAAACCAUGAAGCAGCAACGCCGCGUGAGGGAUGAAGGCCUUCGGGUUGUAAACCUCUUUUGUCAGGGACGAUGAUGACGGUACCUGGCGAAUAAGCCACGGCUAACUACGUG